Molecule: ribosomal RNA, 482 nt
Filed under: uncultured bacterium
Lineage: Bacteria
Description: partial 16S ribosomal RNA
Rfam family: Bacterial small subunit ribosomal RNA
Source: RNAcentral
AUUGAACGCUGGCGGCAUGCUUUACACAUGCAAGUCGAACGGUAACAGGCCGCAAGGUGCUGACGAGUGGCGAACGGGUGAGUAAUGCAUCGGAACGUGCCCAGUCGUGGGGGAUAACUACUCGAAAGAGUAGCUAAUACCGCAUACGACCUAUGGAUGAAAGCGGGGGACCGUAAGGCCUCGCGCGAUUGGAGCGGCCGAUGUCAGAUUAGGUAGUUGGUGGGGUAAAGGCUCACCAAGCCAACGAUCUGUAGCUGGUCUGAGAGGACGACCAGCCACACUGGAACUGAGACACGGCCCAGACUCCUACGGGAGGCAGCAGUGGGGAAUUUUGGACAAUGGGCGCAAGCCUGAUCCAGCAAUGCCGCGUGCAGGAAGAAGGCCUUCGGGUUGUAAACUGCUUUUGUACGGAACGAAACGGCUCUGGUUAAUACCCGGGGCUAAUGACGGUACCGUAAGAAUAAGCACCGGCUAACUACGUG